UACGAAGGGUGCAAGCGUUGUCCGGAUUCACUGGGUGUAAAGGGUGCUCAGGCGGGCUCUUAAGUCAAAGGUGAAAUCUCUCGGCUUAACCGAGAAAUUGCCUUUGAUACUGAGAGCCUUGAGUACGGGAGAGGGAGAUGGAAUUCCAGGUGUAGCGGUGAAAUGCGUAGAUAUCUGGAGGAACACCGGAGGCGAAGGCGGUCUCCUGGCCCGUUACUGACGCUCAGGCACGAAAGCGUGGGGAGCAAACAGG
This 253-nucleotide ribosomal RNA is filed under the name uncultured bacterium. RNAcentral's name for it is "partial 16S ribosomal RNA". It matches the Rfam family "Bacterial small subunit ribosomal RNA", at positions 524 to 776 of the family's 1533-position model. The record is from RNAcentral.